This 280-nucleotide ribosomal RNA is filed under the name uncultured bacterium. Its description in RNAcentral is "partial 16S ribosomal RNA". It matches the Rfam family "Bacterial small subunit ribosomal RNA", at positions 335 to 611 of the family's 1533-position model. The record is from RNAcentral.
UGCCCUACGGGAGGCAGCAGUGAGGAAUAUUGGUCAAUGGGCUUACGCCUGAACCAGCCAAGUCGCGUGAGGGAAGACUGCCCUAUGGGUUGUAAACCUCUUUUGUCAGGGAGCAAUUGGCGCUACGUGUAGCGUUAUCGAGAGUACCUGAAGAAAAAGCAUCGGCUAACUCCGUGCCAGCAGCCGCGGUAAUACGGAGGAUGCGAGCGUUAUCCGGAUUUACUGGGUGUAAAGGGCGUGUAGCCGGGCUGACAAGUCAGAUGUGAAAUCCGGGGGCUCA